UCUUCCUAAUUUCCAGUUACUUAUCAUUUGAAAUCUCACAGGGAAAACAGCACUGUGUAGAAAGAACAACCAAUUAAAGUUCAGGGUUGGACUGGCACAACAAAGAUAUCUCUGAUAUCCCCCACUGGGUUUGGAAUCUGGAUGAUUUUUAGAGAGAAUACCAAGAAGGUGAAAGAGAACAAACAGGAAUGAAGCACUGGGAAAUACUGGAUCAGACGUAGAACUAAGGGAGGAGCUGGGGAAAAGAGCAUCACAGAAAUGACUGUGUGGAGCCCAUAAAGGUGCAGCUGAGUGCCAGGUGAGGUGAUGGAAAAGCAGAGUGGGAAUGGAGGAAGGAAUAGGAAGUUUUGGCACAUGUGAGAUAAGACUCCGUGGGAUGGGCAGGACAGGAAAUGAAUAGAAGAUAAUGUGGUAGCUUCUGUUGCUGUAUAGAGUUCAGCAUCAUUUCUGGCAGCAAGCUGGAAAGCAUUUAAAUGCUGAGCUUUCAACUAAAAAUUCUCAUUAAGUUGAGGCCCAGUAACCCUGUCUGAAAGGUUAAAGCAAAAACACCAAACAAGGCAGAAUUUUGCCCACUGUUUUUUAUGUAAGUACAGAUAAUUGAACUGAACUUGGAGGAAAUACUAACUUGAACCUUUUUAUUUUCUUUCCUUGAACAGGAAUUCAGCAUGAACUGUUUGCUAGUUUGAAGUUUUAUUAAUUUGGAGCAACUUUAGUCACUGCUGAACCCAAAUGAGAAUCAAAUUAAAUAGCUGAAACACUUGACUGUCUAAGUAGAUGUAAAAAUUCAUGAUCAGUUUGUUGCAAUACUAUUUUCUGCAUUUUUAGUUUUGAUCCCACUUUUCAUUUAUCCUGCCCAGAUUCUUUCCAGGCUCCUGCUUUGACUCAGGGGGUGCUAUGGCUUGUAGGGGACGUUCUGGUGGGAUGAGGUGGAGAGAAUUCAUGUUGGGGUUUAGACUGUGUGAGUAGCAUUGCUCAGAGUCCUCUUUCUUUGACAUUGCUCAAUUACUGCUUUCAUCCUCAGAAUGAGCUUCAGGAAGGAUGCAGAAGAAUGACUUACCUGCCUGCCAGACACUAGAGAGAAUAUUUCUCCACGUUGUGCUGUGCUGUGGAGUCAGCUGUCCUCACUUCCUAAUUUUUAGAUGAGCACUGCUGUGACAAGCCACUUGGAAAAAGCAGCUUGGAUCCUUCCUUCAGCUCACUGAUGUCUCCCUGUGUCUAAUAUACCACCCCCUCGUGGUCUCCAGAGACUGAAGCCCCCUUCACCAGAUGAGAGCUGUGCUGCUUUUUGCUCAGGGCAGCAGCUGUCUCAGCAUGGGGAGCAGCUGCUUGCUCUGAGACAUGACCCCAAAUUUCGGUCCUGUGAUCCCUGUCCUGCAAGAGUUGAGCCAGCUGAAAGCAGUUUCCAGUGCCACACUUGCAGUAGCCAUUUGCAAUGGUAGAAUGAGUCUCUUUAUUAAAGAUCUGCUGUCCAAACCAGCAUGCUGUGUUAUGCCAACCCUGUGCCUUGUCAGCGUGGCAGACAGAAUACAGGGCUUUUGUGUUCCACCCGCCCCCUCAUCUCUCAGGUUUUAUUCCACUUCUCUGAACAGUGGACACAUUCCUGCCAGUCUCAGUGUUUUAAUUUAAUUUGGGCACAGGCUAUAUAAAACUGAACAGAUGUCUGAAAGCAGUGAAGAGAAGACCAUAAAAUGAACCUCAUAAUCAGCUUCAUUUGAACCAAGCAAUAUUUUAUUUUUUUUUGUCUCUGUUGCCACAAAGUUCACACAUGACUUGGGUGUGACAAGAGGAUGCAACAUGGAGAGAGGAGGUAUUGUUCGCAGAGAUCUAAAACUGGAAAACAUUUCAGUUAAAAGCAGUGACAUCAAUGAAGUAAAUGCAGUGAAAUUAAACAUAAAGCCCAUGAAGUUAUCAGUGCCUGUGACUACAGCCAACAGUGUGACAUUUGGAGCACAGGUGUCAUUAUGUACAUGCUAAAGAGCUAAAAUUCCUUUCCCAAAAGCACUGCAAAGUAUUCUUAGAAACGGUUCCUGAGGAAGUAGAGAUGGUGAAGGCUCUUUUAAGUAGGAAGUCAUAUCAAAAUAGAAAAAAAACCCUAGAAGAACCGAGAUAUUAACUGUAUGUAUGUGAACCCUUGGAGAGAUUUAAUUUACAGUAAGCUAAGGAAGAGCUCUUUGACAUCAUAUAGAAUUGAAAAGAUCAGAACAGUCAAGCCUGUUGAGGAGGAAAAAGGUGUGUUCUACAAAAUGCAGUGAGUCUAAGCCACAGAUUUCUGUAUUUUUCUGACAGAAUUCAGUAAAAUUUUCACUUUAAGCAGAAAGUUGUCCCUUCUUUUCUCUUUGUUGUGCACCCACUCAGUAGCAAAGUCAA
Parus major (Great Tit) is the source of this 2367-nucleotide long non-coding RNA. RefSeq lists it as uncharacterized. The record is from RefSeq and is a predicted model, not a curated record. Lineage: Eukaryota; Metazoa; Chordata; Aves; Passeriformes; Paridae. The transcript has 9 exons.